RNAcentral lists this transfer RNA (74 nucleotides) under Candidatus Taylorbacteria bacterium RIFOXYD2_FULL_36_9. RNAcentral's name for it is "tRNA-Thr". It matches the Rfam family "tRNA". From Rfam's summary of the family: Transfer RNA (tRNA) molecules are approximately 80 nucleotides in length. Their secondary structure includes four short double-helical elements and three loops (D, anti-codon, and T loops). The record is from RNAcentral. Lineage: Bacteria; Candidatus Tayloriibacteriota.
GCCGAAUUAGUUCAGUGGUAGAACACUACUUUCGUAAAGUAGAGAUGUGGGUUCGAUUCCCGCCUUCGGCUCCA